CAAAAUUAUACAACUGUAUAUUUACAAUGUUAGAUUUUAUGGUGUACAAAUUACAUCUUAGUAAAGCUGUUUUCAUUUACUUACUGUUUUAGCACAAAUAUAUAAAGAACUUGGGAAUUGUCAUUCCCAUCUUUACAACAAGAAAAAUGCAGAACAAAUUAAGGGUCAAUGACUUGUUUUAUAGUAUCCAUAAAGAUCUGAACUUUUUAAGAUCCACAGAGAUUGUGGGUGAAGACCAUCUCUGAAAUCUGGAGAAACAGGCAAAUACAGAAAAUUGCAGCUGAAACAAAAUCUCUUGAAGUCAUAAACUGCCAUGUGAAGACAGACACCUGCUCACGCUUUUCCUUCCACCAUGAUUGUAAGUUUCCUGAGACCACCCCAGAAGCAGAUGCUGCCUUGCUUCCUGUACAGUCUGCAGAACUGUGAGCCAAUUAUUUGGUGUUAUACAAUUACUUUCAAUGGCAAAAACCACACACAUGUGAUAAUUUUAAGAUAGUGUUCAGAGUUCUGAAUAAAAUGGAUGUUAACUCUUAAAGAGUACUUGAAAAAAGCUGCCACAGUUUAAAAUCGAGAUAAGGGUAUGAGGGAAUGCAUCUCUGAGAAGGGGACAUUGAAGCUGAAACUUUAAUGUUAAAAUGUCUUAUAAAUAUUGAGUAUACUGAUGGCUUCGUGGGAGAAUUAAUAAGUCAAACUCAUCAAAUUAUACACUUAAAUAUGUAUUAUUUAUUGUAUGUCAAUUAUAUCUCAGUAAUACUGUUUUAUAAAAAGGUUGAUCCAGAAAAUUCCUUAGGCAUUUUCAAAGAUGCUUCUGUAAGGGGAAAAUAAGCUGAUUGUUGUCACAUAGGAUGAUCUUGGGAAUGGCCAGGCAGGCAUGCUUCCUAAGCUGACAGAUACCAGCCAUGAUCUCUUGGUCUGUGUCCCCAUGGGCUGUUAGAGAAGCUCCAUCCGAUGGCAUUUGUCAAUUCAUCUCUCUGUGUGUCCAUCUCUGUUUCCCUGGGUCUUCCCUGAAUUUAAUUCAAGUACCACUAAAGGUGGGGUCUCACCUGGAGCUGUGGUAGUUCAUAGAUUGUUCUGUGACUGCAUUUAAGACAUG
This 1093-nucleotide long non-coding RNA is filed under the name Homo sapiens (human). RNAcentral describes it as "HSALNT0071015". Lineage: Eukaryota; Metazoa; Chordata; Mammalia; Primates; Hominidae. The record is from RNAcentral.